This 886-nucleotide ribosomal RNA is filed under the name Marinobacter sp. DM06 BPH. Its description in RNAcentral is "bacterial SSU rRNA". It matches the Rfam family "Bacterial small subunit ribosomal RNA", at positions 553 to 1438 of the family's 1533-position model. The record is from RNAcentral. Lineage: Bacteria; Pseudomonadati; Pseudomonadota; Gammaproteobacteria; Pseudomonadales; Marinobacteraceae.
ACUGGGCGUAAAGCGCGCGUAGGUGGUUGAGUAAGCGAGAUGUGAAAGCCCCGGGCUUAACCUGGGAACGGCAUUUCGAACUGCUCGGCUAGAGUGUGGUAGAGGGUAGUGGAAUUUCCUGUGUAGCGGUGAAAUGCGUAGAUAUAGGAAGGAACACCAGUGGCGAAGGCGGCUACCUGGACCAACACUGACACUGAGGUGCGAAAGCGUGGGGAGCAAACAGGAUUAGAUACCCUGGUAGUCCACGCCGUAAACGAUGUCAACUAGCCGUUGGGGAUCUUGAAUCCUUAGUGGCGCAGCUAACGCACUAAGUUGACCGCCUGGGGAGUACGGCCGCAAGGUUAAAACUCAAAUGAAUUGACGGGGGCCCGCACAAGCGGUGGAGCAUGUGGUUUAAUUCGACGCAACGCGAAGAACCUUACCUGGCCUUGACAUGCAGAGAACUUUCCAGAGAUGGAUUGGUGCCUUCGGGAACUCUGACACAGGUGCUGCAUGGCCGUCGUCAGCUCGUGUCGUGAGAUGUUGGGUUAAGUCCCGUAACGAGCGCAACCCCUAUCCUUGGUUGCUAGCAGGUAAUGCUGAGAACUCCAGGGAGACUGCCGGUGACAAACCGGAGGAAGGUGGGGAUGACGUCAGGUCAUCAUGGCCCUUACGGCCAGGGCUACACACGUGCUACAAUGGCGUAUACAGAGGGCUGCCAACUCGCGAGAGUGAGCCAAUCCCUUAAAGUGCGUCGUAGUCCGGAUCGCAGUCUGCAACUCGACUGCGUGAAGUCGGAAUCGCUAGUAAUCGCGAAUCAGAAUGUCGCGGUGAAUACGUUCCCGGGCCUUGUACACACCGCCCGUCACACCAUGGGAGUGGAUUGCACCAGAAGUGGUUAGUCUAA